Molecule: small RNA, 117 nt
Filed under: Marmota monax (woodchuck)
Lineage: Eukaryota; Metazoa; Chordata; Mammalia; Rodentia; Sciuridae
Source: RNAcentral
GCCAGGCGUGGUGGUGCAUGCCAGUGGUCCCAGUUACUUAGGGCGUUGAGGUAGGAGCAUCUCUAGAGCCCAUGAGUUUGAAACCAGCCUGGGCAACAUAGCAAGACCCCUUCUCAG